UCCCUGUUACCAGGGCAGUCUGAUUAGAAAAAUUCAACUAAUCAUAAGGGUUGCGCUCGUUGCGGGACUUAACCCAACAUCUCACGACACGAGCUGACGACGGCCAUGCAUCACCUGUCACCGCGUUCCAAAAGGCACUCUCUUCUUUCGAAGAAAUUCGCGGGAUGUCAAGCCUUGGUAAGGUUCUCGGCUUAGCAUCCAAUUAAACAACACGCUCCACCGCUUGUGCGGGUCCCCGUCAAUUCCUUUGAGUUUUAGCCUUGCGACCGUACUCCCCAGGCGGGAUGCUUAACGCGUUAGCUUCGCUUCUGAAGGGGUCGAUACCUCCAAAUAGCUAGCAUCCAUCGUUUACGGCGUGGACUAC
This 364-nucleotide unclassified non-coding RNA is filed under the name uncultured bacterium. RNAcentral's name for it is "contains 16S-23S intergenic spacer region". The record is from RNAcentral.